CCCUGCUGAGCUCACCAGUUCCUUGCUCUACACAGCUGCUUUCUCAGCUGGGGUUUUGAAAUAAGCACUGUGAGAAAAGACAGAAAUGACCAUGAUGCAUCUUUCUCACUAUGAGAAAAAGUGCCAAUUUUUAGAAUGGAGGGUGUAGAUCCAUCCUUUGCAACUGGUGAGGACCUCCUCAGUAAGGCACUGAGCCAGGAGUCUAUACAGCCAUGCCAGCAGGGAGCACUGUCUUUCAUUGUCUGAUGUUUAUUGCAAACCUGUUCUUUUCAGCUUUUUGUUGUUUCAGCCUAGUCCAAAGACGUUUACAUCCUGGAAGAGAACUUGCUGGCUUUUCACCUCAGCAUGUAUGGGCCAAACUAAUAUAACAAGUCUUGAGAGGAGUCAGCGGCCAAGCUCCAUGUCUUGCAGCCAAACAAUGCUGUGGGAUGGAAGGUGGGAUGUCAUGUGUCUGGUUUACAGCACUCACGUAUCAGUUGGCAGUUAACGGAAGUGCUACUGAUUGUAACAGUGGAAGCAAUUUGAAAUGAAAUACAACACUUAAAGCAAAUGAAACGGAAGUGAAUGCCAGCAGUAAAUGGCAAGAAGAAAUCCAGUUCAGUGUGUUCCUCAGAAAUCUUGCCUCUUGGGACUAAAUGCUGCAAAUGUAACUCUUAUCCUUGUUUUUCAAGUUUUACCAUCUCAAAGCUAUCCACUUUAUAUUAAAUUAGUUCUGUUAUAUUAUGUCAAUUUGUAUUCUUAAGAGCACAAGUUUGGCCUCAAAUAGACCUGAGCUGAGAUCCAAUUCUUUAAUUUAUCUGUGUUGUUUUCUUUUUCCUUAGCUUUAAAGUGGAAAAAAUGCUACUUACAUUUUAUUUAUGAAGGUUAAAGAUAAAGUGUCUGAUAUGGGACCUAUCAUAUGUGGUAGGCACUUAGUACAUGGUAGCAAUUAUGAUUAUUAUAUCUGAUAUUAGCAUUAUUAUUAUGAUUUGUUUUAAUCUUCAAAGUAUCAACUGUUUCUAUUACAUUUGUGGUAAAUACUCCUAAACAGAGUUUUUAAGUUCAAGUGUCCAAAGUUGUUAGAAACAAAGAUAUUUGACAAUAACAUAAUCAUAUCACAUGACCUCAUGAUUUAACCACCUCCCAAAGUUGCCACCUCCUAAUAUUAUCACCUUGGGGGUGAGGUUUCAACAUAUGAAUUUUAGAGGAACAUAAACAUUCAGACCAUAGCAAUAAUGAAGAUAAAGAGUUUAUUCAUAGAUAAAUGUUAAGAAGUAGAUACUGUUUGUUAGGAGAAGUGUCCACAGUUAGGGAGAAGUUAGAGGUCUGGUGUCAUCUUUGAUUUUUGUGUUUCUUCCGGAACCCUGUUGCCUGGCUUCCUACACUAUUUCUUGUGUCUUUUUCUUGUAGCUAAACUUGAACAUUUUUUCCUUGAGUACCAUUUUACAAUCAACUGUGCUUUUAUGCAGUGGACUUUCACUGAAUGUCCCCUAUUGGAAAUUUUAACAACAAUUUAACAACUAUUUAUUUGAUACUUUCUGUAUAACCAAUAUUAUUGAACAUCCUAGGAACACAUACAUAAAUAAAACUUGAUCUCUGCUUUCAGAAAA
RNAcentral lists this long non-coding RNA (1589 nucleotides) under Homo sapiens (human). RNAcentral describes it as "long intergenic non-protein coding RNA 2223". The record is from RNAcentral. Lineage: Eukaryota; Metazoa; Chordata; Mammalia; Primates; Hominidae.